CGCGCCGCGCCGUCCGCUAGUUAUUCGGCCGCCGCAGCACGCAACACACCACACAGACAGUGAUACACUGUGUGUGUCCGUAAUUUACGACGAAACUUUCGUCUACUCCACAACUUUACCGAGUUAUGAGAGCUUAGAUCUUCUUUUCGAAUAAAAAUCCAAAAACCAAAAAUGGAUCUGAAACUUGCGGUCGCGGUCUUGUUUUGUGUCGUGUCGGUUCGCGCUACCACCAACGAAAACUUCUUGAAGAUGUUCGAGGGGCAACAAACCCCCGCCGACCCGUGCUACGACGAAGAUCGACCCCGACGUUGUAUUCCGGAUUUCGUGAACGCUGCCUUCGGUGUUCCGGUGAAGGCUUCUUCGACUUGCGGUACUCACGCUCCGGUGCAUUAUUGUGAAGCCUCCGAACCCGGCGCUACACCGCAAUGCCACAUUUGCGACGACAAACAACCAAAAAGCAGAUUUUCAGCUGCACAUCUAACCGAUUUGAACAACCCGAAUAAUCUGACUUGUUGGAGAAGCGAACCUUUACCACCGGUAACCUCCAUUGACGCUCCUCCGGAUAACGUGACUUUAACCCUAAGUCUUGGGAAGAAAUACGAACUAACAUAUGUAAGCUUGCAAUUUUGUCCUAAUACACCUAAACCUGAUUCGAUCGCGAUAUACAAGAGCAUGGACUACGGGAAAACAUGGCAAGCCUUCCAAUUUUACUCUAGUCAAUGUAAAAGAGUUUAUGGUCGGCCUAAUAGGGCUACCAUAACUAAAGCGAACGAACAAGAAGCUAGAUGCACCGACGCUCAUCGAUAUACCGGAGGAGAUUCCCUAGGUUACGGACAAUCAUCUCGAAUCGCUUUUAGCACGUUAGAAGGAAGACCCAGCGCUUUUGAUUUUGACAAUUCUCCCGUUUUACAAGACUGGGUAACAGCCACGGACAUCAGAGUCAUCUUCAACCGUCUUCACAUGCCUGUAGAGGACAUUUCCGAUAACCUGGACCUUUUGGUCGACGAGAAACUCUUCAGCAAGCAUUUCGAUGAAGAAAACCUGACUAGGGAGCCGUCAGUUCAGCUGGUGAACGAAAUGCAAGCUCCGGACAACGACGCUUCUUCGGUUAACCCUAAAACCACCAUGACUGUGGAUAUGGCUUCGAACGGAAUCCACGGAUACCAUCAGGUGACGCACCAAUACGCCGUGGCAGAUUUCGCUGUGGGAGGACGAUGCAAGUGUAACGGUCACGCGAGUCGGUGCGUGACGGGUCGUGACGGACAAUUGGCCUGCGAGUGUAAACACAACACGGCGGGAAAGGACUGCGAGCGGUGUAAACCCUUCCAUUUCGACAGGCCCUGGGGCAGAGCCACUGCCAAAGACGCGAACGAAUGCAUAGCCUGCGAAUGUAACAACCACGCCCGCAGAUGUCGCUUCAACAUGGAACUGUACAAGCUGUCGGCCAGGACGUCCGGGGGCGUGUGCAUGAAAUGCCGCCACUUCACCGCCGGCAGACACUGUCACUACUGUAAGGAAGGUUAUUACAGGGACUCCACCAAGUCCAUCACUCACCGCAAGGCGUGCAAACCAUGCGAUUGUCAUCCAAUUGGAGCUUCAGGAAAGACAUGCACUCAAGCCACCGGUCAGUGUCCGUGCAAAGAUGGCGUCGUUGGCCUCACGUGCAACAGAUGUGCCAAGGGUUAUCAACAGAGCAGAUCACGAGUUGCUCCAUGUAUAAAAAUACCAAUUGUACAAAUGAUGGCAACUGAAGAAGACGACGAUGGUUACAAUGAAGAAGAUCCAGAUGCGACAUCAUCGGGAGGUAAAUCACUGCGGAAAGUGCAAAGCAGCAACAAAAAGAUUAAAUCUGAACAAGUAUUGCAAAAGGGAUUACGCCAUAAUGGCAAGAGUCCUAUCCGAAAUCGAAAACAGCGAAGACGAAUACACCAAAGGAUGGGCCAGGUUCAUGAUCAACGUCGAGACCAUCUACAAAAAGGCACGAGAUUCCAGAAUUAGAAAGGGCACCAUGCAGAUGUUGGUGCCUAUGGCCGACUUGAACUGCAAAUGUCCCAAAAUUAAAUCCAACAGGGCCUAUUUGUUCCUGGGCAGAGAAAAGGACGAUAUUCCCGGUGGCAUAGUGACAGGGAAACUAGGAGUGACUCAGAGGUCGAUCGCUAUCGAGUGGCGCGACGAAUGGGAUCAGAGGAUGCGCAGG
RNAcentral lists this unclassified non-coding RNA (2197 nucleotides) under Sitophilus oryzae (rice weevil). Its description in RNAcentral is "netrin-1, transcript variant X1". Lineage: Eukaryota; Metazoa; Arthropoda; Insecta; Coleoptera; Curculionidae. The record is from RNAcentral.